Molecule: ribosomal RNA, 492 nt
Filed under: uncultured bacterium
Lineage: Bacteria
Description: partial 16S ribosomal RNA
Rfam family: Bacterial small subunit ribosomal RNA
Source: RNAcentral
AGUGAACGCUGGCGGUAGGCCUAACACAUGCAAGUCGAACGGCAGCACAGUAAGAGCUUGCUCUUACUGGUGGCGAGUGGCGGACGGGUGAGGAAUACAUCGGAAUCUACUUUUUCGUGGGGGAUAACGUAGGGAAACUUACGCUAAUACCGCAUACGACCUACGGGUGGAAGCAGGGGAUCUUCGGACCUUGCGCGAUUGAAUGAGCCGAUGUCGGAUUAGCUAGUUGGCGGGGUAAAGGCCCACCAAGGCGACGAUCCGUAGCUGGUCUGAGAGGAUGAUCAGCCACACUGGAACUGAGACACGGUCCAGACUCCUACGGGAGGCAGCAGUGGGGAAUAUUGGACAAUGGGCGCAAGCCUGAUCCAGCCAUACCGCGUGGGUGAAGAAGGCCUUCGGGUUGUAAAGCCCUUUUGUUGGGAAAGAAAAGCAGCAGGUUAAUACCCCGCUGUUCUGACGGUACCCAAAGAAUAAGCACCGGCUAACUUCGUG